Molecule: ribosomal RNA, 253 nt
Filed under: uncultured bacterium
Lineage: Bacteria
Description: partial 16S ribosomal RNA
Rfam family: Bacterial small subunit ribosomal RNA
Source: RNAcentral
UACGUAGGGUUCGAGCGUUGUCCGGAAUUAUUGGGCGUAAAGAGCUUGUAGGCGGUCUGUCGCGUCUGCUGUGAAAAUCCGGGGCUCAACCCCGGACUUGCAGUGGGUACGGGCAGACUAGAGUGUGGUAGGGGAGACUGGAAUUCCUGGUGUAGCGGUGAAAUGCGCAGAUAUCAGGAGGAACACCGAUGGCGAAGGCAGGUCUCUGGGCCACUACUGACGCUGAGAAGCGAAAGCAUGGGGAGCGAACAGG